AAGUAUAUCAAUAUUGGACUCAUUUUGAAGCUCGUAUUUUAAAACGAUGUGUUAUAUUUUUAUUUCCUCAAAAUAUUAUUUUACAAGAGGAAAAUUCUUGAUAACAGCUAUCUACCCCAAAAGAAGAAAGAAAGAAAACUUUCCACUCCUCUUUCAUCAUCUUGAGCCGCACUCUCUCUUCCUCUUUUUUCUACAUUUUAUUUUAUUUUGCACCCUUUCCUAUCAUUUUCACCUUUUUUUUUCACAUGCUCCACACAUCUUCCCACAUUUGAUUUCUUCUUCUUUUUUUUUUCUCUUUAAUGGGUUCCACAUGUUUGCUCUCUUUUUUACUACAUCUCUUUCUCUUCAUCAUCAUCUCUCACGCUCCAUUCUACUCCUCCCUUCCCCCCGCUCCUUCGUCCCUCUCUCAUACGCUCCUCUCUCUCAUAUUUUUCUAUAAGAGGUGGAUUUUGACUCAAAUAAGGGCGACUUUUCAGGUUUUUUUUUAGAGGGAUUUUCAGUGAACAGAAUCAAAGAAAAAAAAUCGAUUUCUCCUUUCCGGUGAACUUUAGCCGGAAAUUACUCAACAUUUUCAGAGAUCCAACUAUAUUCCAAGCUUGAUUUUUCCUUUUUCCGGUGAACUUUAGCCGCGACGAGUGUAGUCGAUUCACAACUCUAGCUUCGAAUUUGUUCGGGUGUAAAAGAGUAGAUCGAGACUCAAAUCCCUUGUUCACUGCACCCACAAAAGGUAAAUCUGACCCGGCUCCGUUCAUUUUUUUUUUUUUGUUAAAAUACCGCGUUUUAGAAAUCAUGUUUUAGGAUGUUUGUAUUAUGGAAUAUUUUUAUGUUUACUAGUUGUUUUAUGGUGUAAAUUUUGAAUAGCAUGUCACAAAAUAUAUAUGUUGCAUACUUCUAUUUAUUUAUUUUUUCUUUCUUUCUUUUGUUCACUUCCUUCUUACCUUUUGAAAUCUGGAUGAAUCCAGGCUUUGGUAUGUUCAUCAGCCGUAUUAUUGGCUGUCACAAAGCAUGCUUUGUUUAUGGUUUCUCUCAACAUGUCCUUGUACAUUUAUAUUGAAUUUUGUUUAAAUCCUUAUGCUGUUAAGAUUGUGUUCCAUAUGUCGGGUAUGUUAUCUUCCUUUAUGAUUUCAUUUUUUUUUACAAAGAUAGGUGUUUAGGAUCAAAAUGACAUUUGUUCUCAAGUGUUGUAUACACCUAGCAUUUUAAUCCUUUUUCCUCUUCGGUUUUCCAUUUGUUUGAAUUUAGUACGAAUUAGGAGUUUAAUUCUAUUUCGUAUAAGUUUCAAUCUGCUCAAAAAUUAAUGGGAUCGGCUUCUUUUAGUUCUUCAUCCUUUUAACAAAAAGCCAUGUUUGAUAUCUGUUGCUACUUAUCUUUGCUCAACGUUAUGGUAUUUUGGUUGAUGCCUUAUUUAUGUGUAGUGUGUGGUGGCUGAAUUGUGUAUGCAUAAGGUACAUUUAAAAUAUACAUUGAAUAUACUCAAAUAUACCUAGCAUACAUAAUCCACUGGUCUGUUUUAAAUCUACAUUUCAUAUCUUUAAACCUUAUCUAUUGGACACAUACUAAUCCUUUUUCUUUCGUUUUUAUGCAUGACUAUCGCAUAUGAGUCUCUCGGAUUCAUCAUCUUCCACAUUCAGUGUUGGGCUAAAGGCCCAACACAACUUCUCUCGAGUCAGCCCUCAUACAGUAGCGGCUAGUCUGCAGCAAUAUAUGAAGAAAUUUGUUGGGCCGAAGCCCAACAGUCAACAGACCACAGCAGUCCAAGAAAAUGGGUAUGGAUUUGCAUUGGAGUACAACAAAUGACGAAGAUCAAGGACUUCACAAAACGGAGCUGAAAUUUAGACAUAGGAAAUUGUAUUUACUUUACUUAGAUUAGGAAACACUUUAUGUUGUAUUCAUUUGACAUGUAAUAAAUAUUACACUACUUUUGUACUCUAUUUUGGGGAAAUAGAAUUUGUUUAAUCAAAGCAACGGGAUGACG
Lycium barbarum (goji berry) is the source of this 1975-nucleotide long non-coding RNA. RefSeq lists it as uncharacterized. The transcript has 2 exons. Lineage: Eukaryota; Viridiplantae; Streptophyta; Magnoliopsida; Solanales; Solanaceae. The record is from RefSeq and is a predicted model, not a curated record.